RNAcentral lists this long non-coding RNA (424 nucleotides) under Trifolium pratense (red clover). RNAcentral's name for it is "long non-coding RNA (TPRA_LNC008705)". The record is from RNAcentral. Lineage: Eukaryota; Viridiplantae; Streptophyta; Magnoliopsida; Fabales; Fabaceae.
AACCACUUGGGCAAAACCGUCGCAAAGUGUAAUUUUUGAAAUAUUUGUGACAGUGGUUACGACGGUUUUAACAACCGUUGCAGAAUUAUUCAUAAAAAAUACCCCUCUUCAUGACUAAGUCACUCAAAAGUCAAAAUGCAAUCCAAGUCCUUCAAAACACAAAAACGCAGAAACCUCAUCUCUUCCAGUUCUAGGUCCAACCCAAACGCAGAAACGCACGCAAACCAAAGAAUCAAAAUCGGCGAAGCUAUGGAGUUCGAGUUGCAAUUCCUUCAACCACAAAUGCCUCCGAAUUCCUAACUCGUUCCAAAUCUUCAUCUUUUAGUCAUUUCAAAUCCCUAACAUGCUCUAAAUCCCUAAUCUCUAAAUCCAAAUCCAAAUCGACGAAGCUUCUCUCGUUUUGUCGCCAAAUCCAAAUCCAANN